AUGAUGAUCAAAAAAAAAAAAAAAAAAAAAAAAAUCAGUUUUGUGUCUUCUGUACUUCUUUUUGAAUCUCUUGGGAUAGUUGAUUUGCAUUUACAUUCCGUGUGAAAUUUCGACAAGAUAAUCAUCCCCAUCUUCUUCAACCUUCUUAAAAGGCACUCUGUACUCAUUCGCCAUCUUUCUUAUAGCACCAACUGGUCCAGU
Molecule: long non-coding RNA, 201 nt
Filed under: Helianthus annuus (common sunflower)
Lineage: Eukaryota; Viridiplantae; Streptophyta; Magnoliopsida; Asterales; Asteraceae
Description: sRNA HanXRQr2_Chr15g0678771
Source: RNAcentral